UUUUUAUUACACAAGUGCUCGUCGUUUCGUACGCGUUUUAAAAACAAGAUUGUAUUUCUUGUCACGAAUAGUAUUACUACUGCAUACGUCGAUUGUCCAGUUAUUGCGACGAUAGUGAAAGUUCGAAUUCGGGCUUUUUCUUAACACAUUUUACCUACUAAAAAUUUUAACGGAGGAUAAGAAAUGGAUUGUGCGAAUUGGAAGAAAUGUUGACGUUGUUGAUCCGUCAAAAUGAAGUGUACGAUACGCUAUUUUAAUUUAAGAAAAGAUAAAGAAAGAUAAAACAUGUUUCUUUGUUCCAUAAAAAUAUAUUUGACAAAGUCACUGACAGACAAGGAGAUAACAAUAAAGAAAAGUUUCCUCCAGAUGAAAAUAUUAGGAUAUACUAAAAAAGGUAUAUGACAACGAAUGCACACCGGACACACCUCCUUCCAUAUAUGGCCAAAUGGGAAAGUAGAUCGAUCGAUCGAUCGAUCGAUUUAAGAACUGGUGAGAAG
This is a long non-coding RNA of Vespa mandarinia (Asian giant hornet), 497 nucleotides long. Lineage: Eukaryota; Metazoa; Arthropoda; Insecta; Hymenoptera; Vespidae. The record is from RefSeq and is a predicted model, not a curated record.